GACGAACGCUGGCGGCGUGCUUAACACAUGCAAGUCGAACGGAAAGGCCCUGCUUGCAGGGUACUCGAGUGGCGAACGGGUGAGUAACACGUGGGUGAUCUGCCCUGCACUUCGGGAUAAGCCUGGGAAACUGGGUCUAAUACCGGAUAGGAGCCAUUUUUAGUGUGAUGGUUGGAAAGUUUUUUCGGUGUAGGAUGAGCUCGCGGCCUAUCAGCUUGUUGGUGGGGUAAUGGCCUACCAAGGCGGCGACGGGUAGCCGGCCUGAGAGGGUGGACGGCCACAUUGGGACUGAGAUACGGCCCAGACUCCUACGGGAGGCAGCAGUGGGGAAUAUUGAACAAUGGGCGCAAGCCUGAUGCAGAGACGCCGCGGGGGGGAUGACGGCCUUCGGGUUGUAAACUCCUUUCGCUAGGGACGAAGCUUUUUGUGACGGUACCUAGAUAAGAAGCACCGGCUAACUACGUG
RNAcentral lists this ribosomal RNA (465 nucleotides) under uncultured bacterium. Its description in RNAcentral is "partial 16S ribosomal RNA". It matches the Rfam family "Bacterial small subunit ribosomal RNA", at positions 28 to 507 of the family's 1533-position model. The record is from RNAcentral.